This 1583-nucleotide long non-coding RNA is filed under the name Phasianus colchicus (ring-necked pheasant). Its description in RNAcentral is "lncRNA (ENSPCLG00000007920.1)". Lineage: Eukaryota; Metazoa; Chordata; Aves; Galliformes; Phasianidae. The record is from RNAcentral.
GCAUUGUCAAUGUGAAUACAUCUCUUAAAGUGUCCUUAAAAAAUUGGUCCAUUCAUUAAAUAUGGAUGUCACUAUGUCACCAGUAUACAAUAUUUCUUUGAUAUCAUUAUUUUAUUGAAGAAAGUCAGAAGAGAUAUGUUUACAAAAGAGAUUUAUAAGUAUGAUGCUUAGGCUUUUUAGUAAACCAGGCAAUAACAACGUAUAUGUUUCUAUACUUUCUAUUUUUUUAUUUUAUUUUUUUUUACCCACUGCAUUCUUCAUUUAUAGCUGAAUCGAAAAGAUACACUCCUGGAGUACCUAUUAGCUUCCCCUCUGUGGCUUUCUAACUUCCAGUUUAUUAAUUCUGGAUUUUUCAUCAUAACCACGCUUCAGUCCCGCAAAGUUUCUUCAAAGAAACCCCCAGCCUGGAACUGGUGCGGCUCUGCAGAGGAAAACGCCGCACUGUACUUCAAAGCGGAGAAAAUCUGCAGCUGCCGGGAGCCCGCCUGCCCCAGGAGGUGUCACUGUUGGGACUGGCAGGGUGAGCUCCGGAGCUGCUGUUUGUUUUCUAAAGCCUGCUUUGACCGUGAGGUAGGAAUUGACCUGUGCUACACCUCCCCUCCCCACCCCAGCCAGUCUGGGAAAGGGGAUCGCAGGUAAAAACGAGCUGGUGGCUUCUGUGGAGGUAUGGGCAUGUAUGUAAGUGAGAUAAGAUACUCAGCAUUCAGUUUUUUAUUUUAAGAAAUACCAGUUAAUCCAGGCUGCUUACAGUAGUUGCUUUCCCUGUUCUCAAAGUGCUGAUGAAUCACACCAAAUCGGGGAGGAUAUACCAGGGUAUAGCUUCUACUUUUUUCCUUUUAAUACUGUUUGAGGUGAAGAACAAAUGAAUUUGUGAUGUGAUAUUUGCUGACUAAAUGUUUUUUACUAAAUAAUGCUCUCUCUUUAAAUUUACUAAAUCAUAUGCUUUAAGAAAAAAGUGCAUACUUUUAGAGCACUCAAGGAUUGAAAGUUUUCUAACCAUAAAUAUAAUGCAAAUGAUCUGCGAUGCAGACACACAUACACACACACACACACAUAUAUAUACACAUACACACACAGUAACUUCAAGAUUAGGAAUUUUGAUGAUGAGUAUUCUUUUUCAUGGCAAAAAAAAAAGAAAAAAAAUCUUUGAAAGUUAAACUUAGUUUUUGGAGUAUACUGCAGCCUGAGGUAAGUUGCUUCCAUGGUUAAUUAUAUUCGCCAUCGGUGUUUUGCAUCUUAUUUCUAGUAUCAGUGUCAUUUUAUUCAGCCUUCAGCUUGGGGAUUUGCUACACUAGAUCUUCCAGUUUGCCCAUUUUCUGUGGGUUUAUGUGUCAAGAAGUUCCACACCUCCACAGCAGUAAGGGAAGGUCUAGCAAGUUGCAUCUUCUGCUUGGCAGUUAUUGCUUAUCCUGAUGGUUUGUGGUGGAUAUCUGGACAUAAGAAUUCUAGGAAUUUAAAAAAAAAAAAAAAAAGUCAAUUUAGUUUUAAAUAUCUUCAAACUCUCUUUGUAUUUUUGAGUAAAGCACAAAGCAGAAACUCUUAUUUUCUCUCAAACGAACUGCUGAUGUUUGCACAGAGCACAC